Molecule: ribosomal RNA, 449 nt
Filed under: uncultured bacterium
Lineage: Bacteria
Description: partial 16S ribosomal RNA
Rfam family: Bacterial small subunit ribosomal RNA
Source: RNAcentral
AACGAACGCUGGCGGCAUGCCUAACACAGGCAAGUCGAACGAGACCAUCGGGUCUAGUGGCGCACGGGUGCGUAACGCGUGGGAAUCUGCCCCUCGGUUCGGAUUAACAGUUAAAAAUGAAUGCAAAUCACGGAUAAUGACUUCGGGCAAAAGAUUCAUCGCCGAUGGAUGAGCGCGCGUAAGAUUAGGUAGUUGGUGGGGUAAAGGCCUACCAAGCCGACGAUCUUUAGCUGGUCUGAGAGGAUGAUCAGCCACACUGGGACUGAGACACGGCCCAGACUCCUACGGGAGGCAGCAGUGGGGAAUAUUGGACAAUGGGCGAAAGCCUGAUCCAGCAAUGCCGCGUGAGUGAUGAAGGCCUUAGGGUUGUAAAGCUCUUUUACCAGGGAUGAUAAUGACAGUACCUGGAGAAUAAGCUCCGGCUAACUCCGUGCCAGCCGCCGCAGUAA